GGAGGUCCUACCUGCCCAGUGACUACUUGUUAAACGGCCGCGGUAUUUUGACCGUGCUAAGGUAGCGCAAUCACUUGUCUUUUAAAUGAAGACCUGUAUGAAUGGUGGAACGAGGGCUUAGCUGUCUCCCUUCUCUAGUCAAUGAAAUUGAUCUGCCCGUGCAGAAGCGGACAUACAAAUACAAGACGAGAAGACCCUUUGGAGCUUAAGACAAAAAGCCAACUGUGUAAAAACCCACACAAAAUGAAGCUCAACAAAACAGCCAACUGGCCAACGUCUUCGGUUGGGGCGACCGCGGGGGAAAACAUAGCCCCCAUGCAGAAUGGGAUAUUUCCCUAAACCAAGAGAGACAUCUCUAAGUCACAGAACAUCUGACUAUAUAGAUCCGGCCCAAAAGCCGAUCAACGGACCAAGUUACCCUAGGGAUAACAGCGCAAUCCCCUCCAAGAGUCCAUAUCGACAAGGGGGUUUACGACCUCGAUGUUGGAUCAGGACAUCCUAAUGGUGCAGCCGUUAUUAAGGG
RNAcentral lists this ribosomal RNA (523 nucleotides) under Chilodus punctatus (spotted headstander). RNAcentral's name for it is "partial 16S ribosomal RNA". It matches the Rfam family "Bacterial large subunit ribosomal RNA", at positions 1848 to 2571 of the family's 2925-position model. Lineage: Eukaryota; Metazoa; Chordata; Actinopteri; Characiformes; Chilodontidae. The record is from RNAcentral.